RNAcentral lists this ribosomal RNA (490 nucleotides) under uncultured bacterium. RNAcentral's name for it is "partial 16S ribosomal RNA". It matches the Rfam family "Bacterial small subunit ribosomal RNA", at positions 30 to 507 of the family's 1533-position model. The record is from RNAcentral.
AUUGAACGCUGGCGGCAGGCCUAACACAUGCAAGUCGAACGGUAACAGGAAGAAGCUUGCUUCUUUGCUGACGGGUGGCGGACGGGUGAGUAAUGUCUGGGAAACUGCCUGAUGGAGGGGGAUAACUACUGGAAACGGUAGCUAAUACCGCAUAACGUCGCAAGACCAAAGAGGGGGACCUUCGGGCCUCUUGCCAUCGGAUGUGCCCAGAUGGGAUUAGCUAGUAGGUGGGGUAACGGCUCACCUAGGCGACGAUCCCUAGCUGGUCUGAGAGGAUGACCAGCCACACUGGAACUGAGACACGGGCCAGACUCCUACGGGAGGCAGCAGUGGGGAAUAUUGCACAAUGGGCGCAAGCCUGAUGCAGCCAUGCCGCGUGUAUGAAGAAGGCCUUCGGGUUGUAAAGUACUUUCAGCGGGGAGGAAGGGAGUAAAGUUAAUACCUUUGCUCAUUGACGUUACCCGCAGAAGAAGCACCGGCUAACUCCGUG